GAUGAACGCUAGCGGGAGGCCUAACACAUGCAAGCCGAGCGGGAUUUGUUGGUUAGCUUGCUAACUAACAAUGAGAGCGGCGUACGGGUGCGUAGCACGUGUGCAACCUGCCUUUAUCUGGGGGAUAGCCUUUCGAAAGGAAGAUUAAUACCCCAUAACAUAUUGAUUGGCAUCAGUUAAUAUUGAAAGCUCCGGCGGAUAGAGAUGGGCACGCGUAAGAUUAGCUAGUUGGUGAGGUAACGGCUCACCAAGGCUGCGAUCUUUAGGGGGCCUGAGAGGGUGAUCCCCCACACUGGUACUGAGACACGGACCAGACUCCUACGGGAGGCAGCAGUGAGGAAUAUUGGACAAUGGGUGAGAGCCUGAUCCAGCCAUCCCGCGUGAAGGACUAAGGACCUGUGGUUUGUAAACUUCUUUUAUACAGGGAUAAACCUACUCUCGUGAGGGUAGCUGAAGGUACUGUAUGAAUAAGCACCGGCUAACUCCGUG
RNAcentral lists this ribosomal RNA (489 nucleotides) under uncultured bacterium. Its description in RNAcentral is "partial 16S ribosomal RNA". It matches the Rfam family "Bacterial small subunit ribosomal RNA", at positions 28 to 507 of the family's 1533-position model. The record is from RNAcentral.